AUGCGGAGGGUGCAAGCGUUAAUCGGAAUUACUGGGCGUAAAGCGCGCGUAGGCGGUUUAGUCAGUCAGAUGUGAAAGCCCCGGGCUCAACCUGGGAACUGCAUUUGAUACUGCUGAACUAGAGUAUGGUAGAGGGAAGUGGAAUUCCGGGUGUAGCGGUGAAAUGCGUAGAUAUCCGGAGGAACACCAGUGGCGAAGGCGACUUCCUGGACCAAUACUGACGCUGAGGUGCGAAAGCGUGGGUAGCAAACAGGAUUAGAAACCCUAGUAGUCC
RNAcentral lists this ribosomal RNA (274 nucleotides) under uncultured bacterium. RNAcentral describes it as "partial 16S ribosomal RNA". It matches the Rfam family "Bacterial small subunit ribosomal RNA", at positions 523 to 796 of the family's 1533-position model. The record is from RNAcentral.